This 897-nucleotide ribosomal RNA is filed under the name Triticum aestivum (bread wheat). RNAcentral describes it as "partial small subunit ribosomal RNA". Lineage: Eukaryota; Viridiplantae; Streptophyta; Magnoliopsida; Poales; Poaceae. The record is from RNAcentral.
AUGGAGUGCAGCGGCGACGAGGUGGUGGAGCUGAACUGUGCCCGCGCCGGCGGAGACCCCGGAGAGUACGCCGCCGUGCUGAAGAGGAAGCUGCAACUGUACUGCGCCGCCGUGGCCAAGACCAUGGAAGGUAAACCUCAAGAAUCUUCGUUGAACUGCCUCAGUUCACAAGCUUCGGACACUUCGCCAUUGGUUUCUCAAGCUUCUUUUGAUUGUGACGGUACUGUUGUUCAAGGAAAGCCAGCUAAUAGUUGUACAUCAAAGGAGCAGUCAGAUGAUGACGAUGGGGAUCUCGAGGAAAAUACAGACCCUGCCAGUGCCAAGCGCGUGAAGAGGAUGCUGUCAAAUCGAGAAUCUGCCAGGAGGUCAAGGAAAAGGAAGCAAGCCCACCAAAAUGAUAUAGAAUCACAGGUUACCCAGUUAAGAGCUGAGAAUGCAUCUUUGCUAAAGCGCCUGACUGACAUGACUCAGAAAUACAAGGAAGCUUCCCUUGGCAACAGGAAUCUUACAGUUGAUAUUGAGACUAUGAGAAGAAAGGUGAAUAUAGCUGAAGAAGCUGUCAGGAGAGUAACUGGAGCAAGCUUGAUGUUCUCCACUACAUCAAACAACGUGCCCUUGGCUUCAUGUGUAUCUGUUGCAGCUUCUGCUGAUGCUGUUCCCAGUGAGGAAAACAUGAGCCAUUUCCUCCAGGGUUUACUUGAAGACGAUCUGAUCAAACAUGACGUCUCAGAGGUAGCAACCCCUUUGCCCAAUGGGGAAGAGAUGGCCUCAAGGCCAGCCUCUUUGCGACGCGUCGCGAGCCUGGAGAACCUGCAGAAGAGGAUCCAUAGAGAUUCAGUGCACUCUGAGGACAUGUCGAUUUUCCCGGACCAUGAAGUCCCUGCCAAUGCUCAGUAA